GCGCUAGUGGUGAAAUUGGUAGACACGCUGGAUUUAGGUUCCAGUGCCGCGAGGCAUGGGGGUUCGAGUCCCUCCUGGCGCA
Molecule: transfer RNA, 82 nt
Filed under: gamma proteobacterium HdN1
Lineage: Bacteria; Pseudomonadati; Pseudomonadota; Gammaproteobacteria
Rfam family: tRNA
About the family: Transfer RNA (tRNA) molecules are approximately 80 nucleotides in length. Their secondary structure includes four short double-helical elements and three loops (D, anti-codon, and T loops).
Source: Rfam by way of RNAcentral